RNAcentral lists this ribosomal RNA (425 nucleotides) under uncultured bacterium. Its description in RNAcentral is "partial 16S ribosomal RNA". It matches the Rfam family "Bacterial small subunit ribosomal RNA", at positions 354 to 796 of the family's 1533-position model. The record is from RNAcentral.
GUGGGGAAUCUUGCGCAAUGGGCGAAAGCCUGACGCAGCCAUGCCGCGUGAAUGAUGAAGGUCUUAGGAUUGUAAAAUUCUUUCACCGGGGACGAUAAUGACGGUACCCGGAGAAGAAGCCCCGGCUAACUUCGUGCCAGCAGCCGCGGUAAUACGAAGGGGGCUAGCGUUGCUCGGAAUUACUGGGCGUAAAGGGCGCGUAGGCGGACAGUUUAGUCAGAGGUGAAAGCCCAGGGCUCAACCUUGGAAUUGCCUUUGAUACUGGCUUUCUUGAGUACGGGAGAGGUGAGUGGAACUCCGAGUGUAGAGGUGAAAUUCGUAGAUAUUCGGAAGAACACCAGUGGCGAAGGCGACUCACUGGCCCGUUACUGACGCUGAGGCGCGAAAGCGUGGGGAGCAAACAGGAUUAGAAACCCGGGUAGUCC